ACUUAUUCUCAGGGCGGGGCGUAAUUCCCCACCGGCGGUAAACCAGCGAUAUACUGAUGUAUAUCCGUUGGAAGCCCGCGAGCGCUCAGGUUGCCCGUGCAGCCUGAGGUCAGCAGAUCCGGUGAAAUUCCGGAGCCGACGGUUAUAGUCCGGAUGGGAGAGAUUAACG
RNAcentral lists this non-coding RNA (169 nucleotides) under Serratia sp. (in: enterobacteria). RNAcentral describes it as "Serratia sp. FMN sequence". It matches the Rfam family "FMN riboswitch aptamer (RFN element)". From Rfam's summary of the family: The RFN element is a highly conserved domain that is found frequently in the 5'-untranslated regions of prokaryotic mRNAs that encode for flavin mononucleotide (FMN) biosynthesis and transport proteins. This element is a metabolite-dependent riboswitch that directly binds FMN in the absence of proteins. Lineage: Bacteria; Pseudomonadati; Pseudomonadota; Gammaproteobacteria; Enterobacterales; Yersiniaceae. RNAcentral also lists the same sequence under 1 other name. The record is from RNAcentral.